UUGAUCUCAAAUCAAGUAGGACUACCCGCUGAACUUAAG
This 39-nucleotide ribosomal RNA is filed under the name Calyptella capula. RNAcentral describes it as "partial 25S ribosomal RNA". Lineage: Eukaryota; Fungi; Basidiomycota; Agaricomycetes; Agaricales; Porotheleaceae. The record is from RNAcentral.